Molecule: ribosomal RNA, 323 nt
Filed under: uncultured eukaryote
Lineage: Eukaryota
Description: partial 18S ribosomal RNA
Rfam family: Eukaryotic small subunit ribosomal RNA
Source: RNAcentral
CCCUUAGAUGUCCGGGGCCGCACGCGCGCUACACUGAAGGAAUCAGCGUGGCUCUGUCCCUGGUCCGAAAGGAUUGGGAAACCCGUUGAAUCUCCUUCGUGAUAGGGAUUGGGGCUUGGAACUGUUCCCCAUGAACGAGGAAUUCCCAGUAAGCGCGAGUCAUAAGCUCGCGUUGAUUACGUCCCUGCCCUUUGUACACACCGCCCGUCGCACCUACCGAUUGAAUGGCCCGGUGAAAUCUCGGGACGGCGGCUUGGUCGCUUGCGUCCGACUGCUGAAACUUGAUUAAACCAUAUCAUUUAGAGGAAGGUGAAGUCGUAACA